GUGGGUAGUUUGACUGGGGCGGUCUCCUCCCAAAGAGUAACGGAGGAGCACGAAGGUUAGCUAAUCCUGGUCGGACAUCAGGAGGUUAGUGCAAUGGCAUAAGCUAGCUUGACUGCGAGAGUGACGGCUCGAGCAGGUGCGAAAGCAGGUCAUAGUGAUCCGGUGGUUCUGAAUGGAAGGGCCAUCGCUCAACGGAUAAAAGGUACUCCGGGGAUAACAGGCUGAUACCGCCCAAGAGUUCAUAUCGACGGCGGUGUUUGGCACCUCGAUGUCGGCUCAUCACAUCCUGGGGCUGAAGUAGGUCCCAAGGGUAUGGCUGUUCGCCAUUUAAAGUGGUACGCGAGCUGGGUUUAGAACGUCGUGAGACAGUUCGGUCCCUAUCUGCCGUGGGCGCUGGAGAAUUGAGGGGGGCUGCUCCUAGUACGAGAGGACCGGAGUGGACGCAUCACUGGUGUUCGGGUUGUCAUGCCAAUGGCACUGCCCGGUAGCUAAAUGCGGAAGAGAUAAGUGCUGAAAGCAUCUAAGCACGAAACUUGCCCCGAGAUGAGUUCUCCCUGAGACUUAAAGUCUCCUGAAGGAACGUUGAAGACGA
Molecule: ribosomal RNA, 592 nt
Filed under: Enterobacter cloacae
Lineage: Bacteria; Pseudomonadati; Pseudomonadota; Gammaproteobacteria; Enterobacterales; Enterobacteriaceae
Description: partial 23S ribosomal RNA
Rfam family: Bacterial large subunit ribosomal RNA
Source: RNAcentral